This 547-nucleotide ribosomal RNA is filed under the name uncultured bacterium. RNAcentral's name for it is "bacterial SSU rRNA". It matches the Rfam family "Bacterial small subunit ribosomal RNA", at positions 35 to 592 of the family's 1533-position model. The record is from RNAcentral.
GUUGGCGGCGUGGAUUAGGCAUGCAAGUCGUGCGAUAAGCCCCUUUCGGGGGGUGGACAGCGGCGCAAGGGAGAGUAACGCGUGGACUACCUACCCCCGGGUCCGGGAUAGCUGCGGGAAACUGCAGGUAAUACCGGAUGACAUCUUCGGAUCAAAGGUGAGAUUCCGCCUGGGGAUGGGUCCGCGUCCUAUUAGCUUGUUGGUGGGGUAACGGCCUACCAAGGCUGCGAUGGGUACCGGGCGUGAGAGCGUGACCCGGCUCACUGGGACUGAGACACUGCCCAGACACCUACGGGUGGCUGCAGUCGAGAAUCUUCGGCAAUGGGCGAAAGCCUGACCGAGCGACGCCGCGUGCGGGAUGAAGGCCUUCGGGUUGUAAACCGCUGUCAGAGGGGAUGAAAUGCCGUGGGGCACUCUCCACGGUUUGACAAAUCCUCAGAGGAAGUGCGGGCUAAGUUCGUGCCAGCAGCCGCGGUAAGACGAACCGCACAAACGUUAUUCGGAAUCACUGGGCUUAAAGGGUGCGUAGGCGGUCCGGCAAGUUGGG